UGAGGAAUCUUCCACAAUGGGCGAAAGCCUGAUGGAGCGACACCGCGUGAAGGAUGAAGCCUUUGUUGGUGUAAACUUCUUUUCUCUUGGAAGAUAAUGACGGUACAAGAGGAAUAAGGGGCGGCAAACUUCGUGCCAGCAGCCGCGGUAAUACGAAGGCCCCAAGCGUUAUCCGGAAUUACUGGGCGUAAAGCGUUUGUAGGUGGUUUGAAAAGUUUCGUGUGAAAGGUCAGGGCUCAACCCUAACUUGCGCGGAAAACUAUCAGACUCGAGUACGGGAGAGGUAAGCAGAACUGUAUGAGUAGGGGUGCAAUCCGUUGAUACAUACAAGAAUACCAAAAGCGAAGGCAGCUUACUGGAACGUUACUGACACUGAGAAACGAAAGCGUGGGGAGCGAAA
Molecule: ribosomal RNA, 400 nt
Filed under: uncultured bacterium
Lineage: Bacteria
Description: bacterial SSU rRNA
Rfam family: Bacterial small subunit ribosomal RNA
Source: RNAcentral